UUUAGGUGCUUGCACUUGAAAGAUUUAACAUUGAGACGAGUGGCGAACUGGUGAGUAACACGUGGGUAACCUGCCCUUGAAGUAGGGGAUAACACUUGGAAACAGGUGCUAAUACCGUAUAACAACCAAAACCACCUGGUUUUGGUUUAAAAGACGGCUUCGGCUGUCACUUUAGGAUGGACCCGCGGCGUAUUAGCUUGUUGGUAAGGUAACGGCUUACCAAGGCGAUGAUACGUAGCCGACCUGAGAGGGUAAUCGGCCACAUUGGGACUGAGACACGGCCCAAACUCCUACGGGAGGCAGCAGUAGGGAAUCUUCCACAAUGGACGAAAGUCUGAUGGAGCAACGCCGCGUGAGUGAUGAAGGGUUUCGGCUCGUAAAACUCUGUUGUUGGAGAAGAACAGGUGUCAGAGUAACUGUUGACAUCUUGACGGUAUCCAACCAGAAAGCCACGGCUAACUACGUGCCAGCAGCCGCGGUAAUACGUAGGUGGCAAGCGU
Molecule: ribosomal RNA, 500 nt
Filed under: Lentilactobacillus buchneri subsp. silagei
Lineage: Bacteria; Bacillati; Bacillota; Bacilli; Lactobacillales; Lactobacillaceae
Description: bacterial SSU rRNA
Rfam family: Bacterial small subunit ribosomal RNA
Source: RNAcentral